Molecule: small nuclear RNA, 101 nt
Filed under: Phocoena sinus (vaquita)
Lineage: Eukaryota; Metazoa; Chordata; Mammalia; Artiodactyla; Phocoenidae
Also listed under: 1 other name
Source: RNAcentral
GUGCUCACUUCAGCAGCACAUUCUAAAACCGUAGAAACAGAGAAGAGUAGCAUGGCCACUGUGCGAGGAGGACACAAAUUUGUAAAGCAUUCCAUUUUUUA